Molecule: ribosomal RNA, 547 nt
Filed under: uncultured bacterium
Lineage: Bacteria
Description: bacterial SSU rRNA
Rfam family: Bacterial small subunit ribosomal RNA
Source: RNAcentral
UAGGGAAUUUUUCACAAUGAGCGAAAGCUUGAUGGAGCAAUGCCGCGUGAACGAUGAAGGUCUUUAAGAUUGUAAAGUUCUUUUAUUUGGGAAGAAUGACUUUAGCAGGUAAUGGCUAGAGUUUGACUGUACCAUUUUGAAUAAGUGACGACUAACUAUGUGCCAGCAGUCGCGGUAAUACAUAGGUCGCAAGCGUUAUCCGGAUUUAUUGGGCGUAAAGCAAGCGCAGGCGGAUUGAAAAGUCUGAUGUUAAAGGCAGCUGCUUAACAGUUGUAUGCAUUGGAAACUAUUAAUCUAGAGUGUGGUAGGGAGUUUUGGAAUUUCAUGUGGAGCGGUGAAAUGCGUAGAUAUAUGAAGGAACACCAGUGGCGAAGGCGAAAACUUAGGCCAUUACUGACGCUUAGGCUUGAAAGUGUGGGGAGCAAAUAGGAUUAGAUACCCUAGUAGUCCACACCGUAAACGAUAGAUACUAGCUGUCGGGGCGAUCCCCUCGGUAGUGAAGUUAACACAUUAAGUAUCUCGCCUGGGUAGUACAUUCGCAAGAAUG